AAUAUGGAGAGUUUGAUCCUGGCUCAGAGUGAACGCUGGCGGCGUGCCUAAUACAUGCAAGUCGAACGAUGAAGCCUUUAGCUUGCUAGAGGUGGAUUAGUGGCGCACGGGUGAGUAAGGUAUAGUUAAUCUGCCCCGCACUGGGGGACAACACUUAGAAAUGAGUGCUAAUACCCCAUACUCCUAUUUAGCAUAAGUUAGAUAGGGAAAGUUUUUCGGUGUAGGAUGAGACUAUAUAGUAUCAGCUAGUUGGUAAGGUAAAGGCUUACCAAGGCUAUGACGCUUAAGAGGUCUGAGAGGAUGAGCUCUCACACUGGAACUGAGACACGGUCCAGACUCCUAUGGGAGGCAGCAGUAGGGA
This 361-nucleotide ribosomal RNA is filed under the name Campylobacter felis. RNAcentral's name for it is "bacterial SSU rRNA". It matches the Rfam family "Bacterial small subunit ribosomal RNA", at positions 1 to 360 of the family's 1533-position model. Lineage: Bacteria; Pseudomonadati; Campylobacterota; Epsilonproteobacteria; Campylobacterales; Campylobacteraceae. The record is from RNAcentral.